Molecule: long non-coding RNA, 903 nt
Filed under: Homo sapiens (human)
Lineage: Eukaryota; Metazoa; Chordata; Mammalia; Primates; Hominidae
Description: HSALNT0321957
Source: RNAcentral
AGGAGAAAAAAGGAAGGAGGAAGUAACUUGUGGAAUGCUGAGAAAGAAGCCAUUUAGAUUUUACAGAAAUGUAGCUCCUCAUACAUUAUAUUGUUCCUAUGAAGAAUUAGAUUGAAUAAAGCUGCUUUGAAUAAAGCUCGUAUUACCAGCUACCACAUGUGAUGGAAAGAAUCCAAGUUAAACACUCUCACCAGAGCAUGCUCCAAGACAGAUGACUGAGCCCCAGGCUUGGCCAAUACAAUGCACUUCUAUUCUCUAUUUAUUUUUGUAGUUCAAAGACCUGGCAGUAACCCACUUGAUGCCUGCCAUAAGGACCAGUACACUCCUGAUUACUGCCCAGCGAUUUUAUAUCUGUAUGCCAGCUACUCAGACCACGUAUAAAGACUAGGGGGAUUUUUUGAAAGGAAAAGAAACCCCGGCUUCCACUUAUACUUUGAAAUUUCAGAUGAUGUACUGCCAACUUACAGACCUUGCUUUAAUCAGCAGCCACAUGAAAAGGCUGUUUCUAUUUACUCUAGGUCAUUUAGGAAACAAGCAAUAAGUAGGCCUUGCAAAAUUUCAGCUUCUCUUAAAGUUGGCAUGUUUUCCUCAAAUAGAGAGUUGAAUCUUGAUUUCAUUUUCUGAGUAGAAAUAUUUACAAUCCUGUCAUACAUGAAUUUUAGCCUUCCUUCUGUCUAACAACAAAUAGGCUUUUUAAAGAAUGCUUAGCGUUAAACUGGAGGCUGUUUUGUAAAGGUGGGUCUGUAUAGAUUUGAAUAAUGACUACGCUGCUUUACUGCUCUAGUUAAAAUUUCAUCAAAUACUGACUUUAGCUGGAAAAAGAUAAUUUAAGCCCAUCCUAUUUUAGUUUUAAAUUGUGUAUAUAUAAAAAGGUAAUCUUGCAGAACAUAAAGUAACAACUAC